Molecule: non-coding RNA, 148 nt
Filed under: Pan troglodytes (chimpanzee)
Lineage: Eukaryota; Metazoa; Chordata; Mammalia; Primates; Hominidae
Source: Rfam by way of RNAcentral
GCCGGGCAUGGUGGCGGGUGCCUGUAAUCCCAGCUACUCGGGAGGCUGAGGCAGGAGAAUCGCUUGAGCCCAGGAGGCAGAGGUUGCAGUGAGCCAAGAUUGAGCCAUUGCACUCCAGCCUGGGUGACAGAGCGAGACUCUGUUUCAA